UGUCUGCUGAUAUAAAGCAAACUGAAUUCUAUUUCUACGCAUGAAAAAUCCUAUUUUAUGUAUCACAGCCCAAGGUGAGUAAAUUUAGCAUCAACUAAUCUACUCGCCACAAUUUCCCCAUUUCUUAUCGUAUUGUUUACAGUCGUAAAUAACCCUUAUCUGGGUGUGCUUCAAUAAAACCUUUGCGGAAAGGUCUCUCGUGCAUUUGCUUUCAUUCUUCCGUCUACAUCACGAUGUGAAUGAACAUAUAUUGUAAGUGGAAGGUGGACACCACUUAGACCGGGUGUGUAUCCACUCACUCACUCAGAAUCCAUUCAGUCGCUCCCACGAUGGGUGGUGGUACGAUGGUUUUUGGGGAGGAGAAUCCGUGGAUUCUCGACAUCCUCCUCCUCCUCAUCCCACGAAAAGCAAUUUCUUGACGAUGCCCGAAGGAUCGGGGGGUUAAGAGGGAACGUAAGUACGGGCGCAAAAAAAAUCGUUCAUUCGGCAAAAAUCUAUUUUCGUGCGUCCUUUUCUUCGCAUCAACAGCUGGGGACCAGAGGAGCACACGGCGUAUAAUUCAUCUCUUCCGUUCCUUCCUAACGUCAUCAUCGUUUUUCGACCCGGCGGGUGGGUGGAAUGUAAGGAAGGAGGAACCACCCCCCAAAAGGGGUGCAAAAAUGGACAAGACGGCAGGCCGCGUGUAAGUGAUGCGUGCUUGGUGCGCAUCAUCACACCUCGGUCAGGCGCUGGUCAUCAUUUAUCAACCAUCUCUUGACCCAGGGGGUGGUGCGGUCAGUGUGUUCCGCCCUGCCAACAUCGACCCAGUGCCUAAGCUAGUACGCCGAAGGUAGCAUCGAAAAUGGGGUGGUGAUGUUCGUGUGUUCAGAACUUACUUUGCAGCGAGGAGUUUAGUUAGGAGUUUUCCGCUAAAUUAAACCAACUCCGCGGGAGUUGUCCAGUGCAGGUCAAUGGGGUUCUAUACAAUAUUCUAAAUAUUUCAGGAGGAUUCUACAAUCUAGAUAACACCGCUGUGCAUGGCGAAGUUCACAUUUUUACUUGAAUCGUUUCACAAAAAGAGGGCCCAUUCUUUAAUGUAUAUAAUCUAUCGACAUAAGAAUAUAAAGUGUUUACUUCAUAUCAAUAAGCUUUGACAUCUUCAAUAGAAUAAAAAAUGGGGGUAUUUACUGAACGACAA
Molecule: long non-coding RNA, 1177 nt
Organism: Anopheles stephensi (Asian malaria mosquito)
Lineage: Eukaryota; Metazoa; Arthropoda; Insecta; Diptera; Culicidae
Exons: 2
Source: RefSeq, a predicted model, not a curated record